CCUACGGGAGGCAGCAGUGAGGAAUAUUGGUCAAUGGGCGCGAGCCUGAACCAGCCAAGUCGCGUGAGGGAUGACGGUCCUACGGAUUGUAAACCUCUUUUGCCGGGGAGCAGGCGUUCUUUCGUGAACGCGCGUCGAGAGUACCUGGAGAAAAAGCAUCGGCUAACUCCGUGCCAGCAGCCGCGGUAGAACGGAGGAUGCGAGCGUUAUCGGGAUUUAUUGGGUUUAAAGGGUGCGUAGGCGGGAGGCCAGGUCAGCGGUAAAAAUGCGGUGCUCAACGGCGUCGAGCAGUUGAGACUGGCAGUCUUGAGUGGGCGAGAAGUAUGCAGAAUUCGUGGUGUAGCGGUGAAAUGCAUAGAGAUCACGCAGAACACCGAUUGCGAAGGCAGCAUCCCGGAGCAAUACUGACGCUGAGGUGCGAAAGCGUGGGUAUCGAACAGGAUUAGAUACCCCGGUAGUC
This 460-nucleotide ribosomal RNA is filed under the name uncultured bacterium. Its description in RNAcentral is "partial 16S ribosomal RNA". It matches the Rfam family "Bacterial small subunit ribosomal RNA", at positions 338 to 795 of the family's 1533-position model. The record is from RNAcentral.